This 5924-nucleotide long non-coding RNA is filed under the name Canis lupus familiaris (dog). RNAcentral describes it as "lncRNA (ENSCAFG00000051579.1)". Lineage: Eukaryota; Metazoa; Chordata; Mammalia; Carnivora; Canidae. The record is from RNAcentral.
UGAAGUGGUGCUGUGUAUUUGGAUGGUUGCUGGGUGUCAGCUGCAUGCUCCAUUGGAAGUCAGGUCUCUAAAUCGCCAUGUAGUAGCGUUCCCGGUAUAUUGUCUGGGUGAAACAGGCUCUUCAGGUAUAAGCACAAAACAUUUGCAGGUUUGAGUCAGUGUUUUCCGAGGCUUGGCCAGUGUCAUCUUGUUUCCCUCACGGCCUUCGUGAGCAAAGAUGGUUCUUUCAGUUGAGGUGUUCGGGUAGGCAAGGCUUCCCCGGUACCACGUUGAGAACUGAAAUUACUGGCUGUGUUUCAUGGGUCCUGGGACAUCCCAGGGGCACCUCCAGGUGGUGAAGGAACCACUGCAGACAGGACUCGGCCAGGCCAGCAAGCAGGGAAGGCCCAGAAGGCGGCAAACUUGGCACGGAGCAGGCCUGCCAACCGUCUGGAGUGCCGACCAGACUUGUGAUUUGGCUCGUCACAGUCAGGCUGCUCUUUGGCUGCUCCCUCGUGUGGCACGAGGCCAGGGGCCGCACAGCACGCGGACUCCACCACCCAGGGAACCCGGGGGUGGAACAUGAGUGGGCGUCUUGAUGGAUUUGGGUGCAUAUCCUCCCAAACUUUUAUCCUCGCCAUGCUGAAUAUAUACGUGUAUGCAUGUGUGUGCACAAAAGGAUAUAUUUAACACAAAGAGGUGAUGUCUGUAUUGUUUUGUGCUGCCUUUUAAAAAUUAGUAGUAUGUGUGGAGUCUCUUUCUCACAUCAUUAGAUGUUCUUCCUUAACAUCAGUUGUGUGGCUGUGAGGAAGUCCCAUCGUCCGGGUAGGCCCAGCUUAUACAAGUCCCCUGUUGCAUGGACGUUUACUUAGGUUAUUUUCAACCUUUUGCUUCUUAGUAACAACAGGACGGUGAACAUCCCAGUCCAUGCUCUUUUGCCCAUUUUUCUGGUUGCUUCCUUUCAAGUACUAGCUCAUAAGUACGUUUCCUGUGUAUGUACAUGUCUCCUCCUUUGAUAUGUCCUACCUGGAAUAAUUUUCUUUCACAGUAAAGGUUUUUGGGUUUUUGUUUUGUUUUGUUUUGUUUUUGAUGAAAUUUCUUGCAUCUUGGUCGACAGUGUCUUCAGCCUCUGUAUUAUUCAGGAUUUGCUCUAGUUAGUUUAGGCAGAAGAAGAUUUAAUGCAGGAAAUUCAGGGGGGACAGAAUUAUUAGAAGCUUGGCCUUUGGCCAGCCCGGCAGGAGUGACCCCCAGAGCCACACUACAGAGCUGGCCGGCCGGGAGCCUGACCUGUUCUGCGGAGGGUCCCUCCACCUGCGCAGUGUCCAUCCAGUGAGCUGGGAAGAGGCUCUGGGACCUACCCCCCCACACACACACACACACAUACACACAGGAAAACCUGCACUACACAGCAGUAGUGUCUGUUAGCAGAGAUGCACAGGAAAGUCCUCUACGUGGGGAGCCUGGCAGGGAGGGAGCCACGGAAUGUGAAUAGAAUCUCCGCCUUUAUGUAUCUUUCUAAUGUUGCCCUUUUAGUGUUGUACUGGAUGCAGGCAGAGGUGAGGUUCACAGAAUGUAGCCACAGGUACAGAGGGCCUGGUCCCUGUCUCACAGAACCAGUAAUUCUGCUCUCAGAGAAGGCCCACUGUCUUUCAUGGGUGAGGUUUUCAUUUCAGUCCCCUUGGACAUCAUGUCCAAGGCCCCUUCCUGCUCUCUCUUGGAAACCAGAUUAGAAGCUUCCCCAGCCUGAGCUUUGCUCAGAAUAGGUAGCAAAACAACAUGAAGCCACAUACAAAUGGUUCCCGCAUACUUGCCUUGUCUAUAGACCAUGUAUUUAUUUGAAAAUCAGAUCCCCAGAGACCAGCCUCAGUAGGAAGGGUGUGGGUUGUCUGGUUGUUUUCUCUCAGUACUGGAGACCCUUUGCUCUCUCUGCUCCUUUCUUGGCAGUGCUAUGUGAAUGCUGAACACCCCUCCGUUCUUAGGCAGGGGGAGGAAGCAUGAGUUAACAUACCACCAAGUGGAGAGCUAGUUUUUUUUUUUUUUUUAUGAGCCGUAAUUGAUUAGCAGUCAAUUUAUAAACUUUCUCCUUGCCUCUUCAAACAGGCUUUUUUUUUUUUUGCAUAAUUACUAUGAAUUCAGGUGUUUGUAUAGUGCCAAGGUCCCCCUCUGAGCGAAUUACUGUAUUUUCAGUUGUUCAAGAAAAGCAUUGCUGAGGGACGCUUCCAGGAAAGACUUUAACAAGUCUUUAAAGCCCAUUGGGUGGGCCACGGUGUUCUGGUGACUCUGGGGGUGGGGAGUGGCCACAGACCUGACGGCGCACAUCUUUCUGACCCUAAACAGGCCCUCUCUCACUUACAGUAAUGUUACCCCUUCGGAGACGGACUAUUUAAAGUAACCUGCUGGCCCCUAAUGUGAAGCCCCAAGGUGGAUGCUGGGGUGACGAGAGAAGAGCCCAGCGCCCUCUAACUCACGGUGGGAUGUGAUAGCCCUUGGGACUGGUCUUUGGAGGGCCCAGCAGGUCAUGUUUUAGAAACCCAUUAAAAAAAUCCAUAUCUUUUGAAAAAGAGAAAGUAAUAGUGAUUUGAUAUAUCCCAAGUGAUUCACCUGGGAUUUCUAUAGCACCUUCCUUCUAGGAAUUAAAAAUAGGACUUGACUUAUAUAUAAUGCUAUUUUUCUUUCUUUUUCUUUUGGGGGGGUGUACCCUGAUUGUAUAUUAUGAAGUAAACCAGAAUAUUUUUACCAGCAACAGAUGUUUUUCUUUCAGUCCUUCUAACCAUAUAAAAUGUUUUGGGGGGGGCAUAUAAACACUGGAUGAUCCAGGCUGCCUGUUGCAUAAUCCCACGCACCCCUCCACCCCGCCACCAGUUUUGUGCUUUAAAGUAAUAAAGUGUCAGUAUGUGUGUGAUUAGAAGAGUCUCUUUCCAGCCCAAAGAGUUGGUGAUGUCAGAGCCAGUCACUGUAUUUACUGCCUGUUGAACUCUGGGCACCAUUUUGGGUGUUUCACUUUCUUUCACUGAAAACUUUCCGUCACCGUGUGCAUCUUAUAAAUAAGGAAACCGAGGCCCAGAGAAGUGAAUUAACUUGGCUGAGGUCUCCCAGCUAGUGAGUGAAAGAGCUGUGAACCCAGCUUCACCUCCCACCCCCAUUUCUCUCAGGAGAGGAUUUCCCCUUGAAAACAACCCAGGCACUUACCCUUCUGCUUGUACAAGCACUGUGUGGUUGUUGGCUCUAUCCCUAUUACUAGUUAGUGUACACGCCCAGGUGCUGUCAUGAUUGCUCCACCCCUCACUGUUCUUAUCCUCAUUUUACAGAGGAACAAACUGAGGUACAGAGAGAUUAUAGGACUUAAUCAUCAGUACACAGUGGAGCAGGGAUUUGAAUCCUGUGUCCUUUCCUUGUUGCCUUGUUUUUAACCUGUUGUGAACUAUUAACUUGGCAAUGGCUGGGAAGCGUCUUUAUAACUCCCCCAGGGUUUUACUUAUUGGGAGUGAACAUUCUUGGCAAAUUAUUCCCUUGGGUGUGCACAGGGCCUGGGGCAUGGGAAGGGCUCCUUAUGGUCCACUUCCCCCUGAGCCCAUCGCCCUACAUCCCACACACUUCCCCCUGAGCCCAUCUCCCUACAUCCCACACACAACUGGAGUCUACUUGGAGACCCUUCUUCCUCCUGCCUCUCCCGGCCAGCCUGAGCAGCUUUUGCAGGAAAGGAGAGGAGGGGAAAGUCACAGGUGGAGGAGGUAGGCAGAAGGGCACAGGCUGGGGGCUGGGCUGACCACACCCUGACAGGUCCCUGGCUGGGUGACCUUGAGGAUGGCCUUAGUCUCACUUUUCCUCCUGUGCACACUGGGAGACUGAGAGACGUGCGUCCCAGGGUUGUUGGGAGAAGCAAAGGUAAUAAUAGUUCAUGUGGAAAUGGCAGAUAUGCUGCAACCAGUAUAUAAGAGUGAGUUAGAAAUGGCAUUUUAUUAUAAUUAAGCCUUAUUAUAAUUUAGCCAUUUUUAUUAAUACAUUUCUAGUCAGAAUAAGGUCUAGUGACUGGGGGUUCUGGGCACAAAGCCUGCCCCUCCCAUUCCCAGUCAUGUGGUCUCUCAGUGCCUCUGAUCCCCAUCUAGAACAUGGGGAUGGGACUAGUACCCAUAUCAGAGGGUGAUUGUGUGGGCUGGCUGGAGUGCCUGGCCCAGGGUAAGCACAUACUUAGCUCCAGUUGGUUAAGUACUUGUUCACCUGAAGGAAUAAAACCUAAAUGGCUGCCAUUGAUGUGGAGAACACAGGCAAAAGAAAUGCAGGAAAAAAAUUAAAGUUCCUUACAACUUACAGCCCAUUGACAAGUCCUUGAGACAGGCAGAGUGACCUUCUCCAGGAAAUCAGCUGCCUUGAUGUUAAUACUUUGCUAGAGACAAAAGGCAGCCUUUGCUUGAUGUGAGCCUGACGCCCAGGAUCCUGUGAGUCUACUUUAACAUGUGAAAAUCCCUUUGGAAAUUUCCUUUAUCUCUACCACCCCCACCCCCAAGACAUAUGUUAGCAGUCAUCCUCCAAGCCUAUGGCCCAUGAUACAUAUCUGAACGGCCUCAGGACUAAGGGUUUACUAGAUGGUAGUAAAUGACCCUUUCCUAACAAUAGCUAGUCUCCUCAAGGUCCUGGAAAUCUUGCUUCCAAAUUCCUUAGAGACUUAGGCUCUUCCUUACCGCCUCCCAACUUGAAAGGAUAUAAAGGGACUCUCCUCGUGACCCCCAGGCAACUCUUUCUGCUCACAGGUCCUGUCCCCGUGCUUUAAUAAAACCGUUAUACACCAAAGAUGUCGCAAGAAUUCUUUCUCUGAACUCCAACAUUUCACAUCAUCACUGUGUCUGAGAAUAAAAACUGAAGUGGUGCAGUGAGAGAUAAUGGAUUGGAGCCCCUGUUGGCUGAGCACGUACUAUAUUCCAGGCACUAGUAGACAUUUAAGGAAUAUAUUAUCCCACCGAUUCUGGGAAUAACCUUUAAAAGUAGAAAUGAUUAUCCCCAUUUUGAGGUGAGGAAACUGAAGCUCAGAGAGGUGAAGGUGGCUUGUACCUGUCCGAGAAGACCGGGGGGUGGGGGGUGGGUUGUGUCCUGAGUCUGGCGCCGUGGGGCCAUCCUAAGUGAACUGUUCACCAUGUACCAGCAUGAUUAGCUGCAGGAGCAGGUACUUCUCAAACAUCAUCUGUUCUUGUUUCUCCUCCUUUCCCAAAUAAACACCUCUGUUGGGACAUCCAGUUGACAUCUCACCAGUUCUUUGCUCUUCUGAUGGACAUAGUGUCUUUGGUACAAAGGUGCUGUUUAAGCCCUUCACAGCCGACCAAACUGGAAUCCCCAUCUGAAGUCACAUCAGUGAGCAGUGUCCAGAAUGGCCUGCCUUUUCUUUUUUCUUUCUUUUCUUUUUCUUCUUCUUUUUUUUUUAUGGCAUGUGGUUUCUUACAGGCUGUAGAUUCACCCUGAAAGCCAGACUGACUGAUCUUUCUGAGAAUGAACAAUUUGGGAAACCUCUCACAUUACAGUAACUAUAUUUUCAUGGGCCAUCAAUGAGGGAAAUAUAUGUAAACAAAAACACACUGAAUGUUGAAGCUCAUCUAGAUAAUUUUAGAUAAUACUGCAUCUACAUGUAUUAGGGAAAAAAUAACCUGUAUAUGUAUGUGAUGUAAUAUUGAUGCUCUUUCCAGAUAAUGCAUGUAGAUCAGAGAUUCACACGUAAAGAAACUAAGGAUAUAUGUUUGGCGAUUGCAUAUUUGUAACCUUUAAAAAAAAAAGUCGGGAUCCCUGGGUGGCGCAGCGGUUUGGCGCCUGCCUUUGGCCCAGGGCGCGAUCCUGGAGACCCGGGAUCGAAUCCCACAUCGGGCUCCCGGUGCAUGGAGCCUGCUUCUCCCUCUGCCUGUGUCUCUGCCUCUCUCUCUCUGUGACUAUCAUAAAUAAAUAAAAAUUAAAAAAAAAAAAAA